RNAcentral lists this ribosomal RNA (1401 nucleotides) under uncultured bacterium. RNAcentral's name for it is "bacterial SSU rRNA". It matches the Rfam family "Bacterial small subunit ribosomal RNA". The record is from RNAcentral.
UGCAGUCGAGCGAAUUGAUCGGAGCUUGCUCCGUGAUGUUAGCGGCGGACGGGUGAGUAACACGUGGGUAACCUGCCUGGCAGACUGGGAUAACAUUCGGAAACGAAUGCUAAUACCGGAUAUUCUUUUGGACCGCAUGGUCCGAAAGGGAAAGAGGCUAUCGCCUCACUGUCAGAUGGACCCGCGGCGCAUUAGCUAGUUGGUGAGGUAACGGCUCACCAAGGCGACGAUGCGUAGCCGACCUGAGAGGGUGAUCGGCCACACUGGAACUGAGACACGGUCCAGACUCCUACGGGAGGCAGCAGUGGGGAAUAUUGCACAAUGGGGGAAACCCUUGAUGCAGCAACGCCGCGUGAGCGAUGAAGGCCUUCGGGUCGUAAAGCUCUGUCCUAAGGGAAGAAUUUUGACGGUACCUUAGGAGGAAGCCCCGGCUAACUACGUGCCAGCAGCCGCGGUAAUACGUAGGGGGCAAGCGUUAUCCGGAAUCACUGGGCGUAAAGGGUGCGUAGGCGGUCUUACAAGUCAGGGGUGAAAGGCUACGGCUCAACCGUAGUAAGCCUUUGAAACUGUAGGACUUGAGUGCAGGAGAGGAAAGUGGAAUUCCUAGUGUAGCGGUGAAAUGCGUAGAUAUUAGGAGGAACACCAGUGGCGAAGGCGACUUUCUGGACUGUAACUGACGCUGAGGCACGAAAGUGUGGGGAGCAAACAGGAUUAGAUACCCUGGUAGUCCACGCCGUAAACGAUGAGUGCUAGGUGUUAGGGGGUUUCCGCCCCUUAGUGCUGCAGUUAACGCAUUAAGCACUCCGCCUGGGGAGUACGGCCGCAAGGCUGAAACUCAAAAGAAUUGACGGGGACCCGCAUAAGCAGCGGAGCAUGUGGGUUUAAUUCGAAGCAACGCGAAGAAACCUUACCUGGACUUGACAUCCUUCAGACCACUCCUUAAAUCGGAGUCUUCCCUUCGGGGACUGAAGAGACAGGUGGUGGCAUGGGUUGUCGUCCAGCUCGUGUCGUGAAGAUGUUUGGGGUUAAGUCCCCGCAACGAAGCGCAACCCUUGCCUUUAGUUGCCAGCAGUUUUGGCUGGGCACUCUAGAGGGACUGCCGGGGAUAACUCGGAGGAAGGUGGGGAUGACGUCAAAUCAUCAUGCCCCUUAUGUUCAGGGCUACACACGUGCUACAAUGGCCGAUACAAAGGGCUGCGAAGGAGUAAUCUGGAGCCAAUCCCAUAAAGUCGGUCCCAGUUCGGAUUGUGGGCUGAAACUCGCCCACAUGAAGUUGGAGUUGCUAGUAAUCGCACAUCAGCCAUGGUGCGGUGAAUACGUUCCCGGGCCUUGUACACACCGCCCGUCAAGCCAUGGAAGUUGGAGGUACCUGAAGUCGAUUGCCAAUUAAGGCGUGCCUAG